AUGUUAAAUUCAUAGUUGUUUUCAUUGUACUUUUCAUUUAUACUGAAUCUAGUGAUAUGUCAUAAAUAUUUGUGAUGUUGUGGAAGGAUAUUUACAUCAGAUAGCGUUCAAGUGUAGUUGGCGCGAAAGAAUAAGCGUUUAUGUUGUUACGGCGAUAGGAUAAAUCAGAAAGCGAUUUGUGACGACAGUGUACGUUAGGGGUACUAUGUUCGUUCUUCCAAGUCAAGUUCGACAAGGAGGCAUGGAAUUUCAUUUGACGUACUACCAUGUAUGAGUGAUGCCGAGUGAGGUCUCCAGAGGGUGAUUGGUGGAUGUACCCUUGUUUUCUCUUGGCCUAUAGUAGGGGGUUUGUUUUCCCUGUUUUGCAUGAUCUACCGGCUGUCAAUAAAUGGCUGACCCACCCCUACUUCUUGUCUAUGGUUCUAUGGUUUUCCUGACUGAGUACCCAACCCCCAACCCAUACUACCACCCAAGCCCAGUUUACUACAAUGGUGUCAGAA
Lytechinus variegatus (green sea urchin) is the source of this 500-nucleotide long non-coding RNA. RefSeq lists it as uncharacterized. The transcript is spliced from 3 exons. NCBI's taxonomy places the organism in Eukaryota, Metazoa, Echinodermata, Echinoidea, Temnopleuroida, Toxopneustidae. The record is from RefSeq and is a predicted model, not a curated record.